AUAAAUUUUUGUGAUUACUCUAGCUUGUUACACUAAAAGUUAUAGAACGCACGUUAAACGACAGUGGAUAAAAUAUUUUGAUUAUUACAAAGUGCAGAUGGACAGGAUAGUUCUGUGAGAAAUUAGGAGACUGAAUAGUCCUAUUCACAGUCCCCGCCGCCAUCUUGGGUACAAACAUGAAAACGAGGCGAGAGUUGACUCAUAAUCAAAAUAAAAGAAGAUGUUUAUCUGACCUCUGAUUAUCUACGCAGAAAACGGCUCCCAAAACAACCGUCAAGUCGAUAAAUCGUGGUUUAUUUGAAACCACACUUCUCGCUAAAUAUAUUAAGAUAAGGAUACUCAGGCUCCAAAACAAGCAAUUCAAAACAAGACAAAAUAAGUGAAAAAAAAAACAUUUUUACCCCUUUUUCUUGUGUGGCCUGGCUAUAGAGUAAAUAAAUAAUGAAUAACACCUUAUUUUUUUUUACAGCUGGUAUCACCUUUGCUACAGACCAAAUGCAAGUGGGCUUUUUUGUGGGUACCAGGGGGUGAAGCUUGCGAGGCACAUCAAAAGGCAACAUUCCAAGGAAUCUGAAGUGGCCUGCCAGCUUGCAGGAACGAGUAAAAAGAACAAAGUAAAAGAACACGAAAGGCUCCGGCUCCUCGGUGAUUAUCACCACAAUUGCAAUGUCCUGAGCUUAGGCGAAGAACAACUGAUUGUGGUAUGCCUACCUCCCUUGUAAGUCGUGCCUUGGGUUUCACAAGAGGGACGACCUUUGGAGGCACAGAAAGAAGUGUGCGUUUAAACAGCAUGGGACAGACAAAGAAGUUGGUAUCACCUUUGCCACAGACCAAAUGCAAGUGGGCUUUUUUGUGGGUACCAGGGGGUGAAGCUUGCGAGGCACAUCAAAAGGCAACAUUCCAAGGAAUCUGAAGUGGCCUGCCAGCUUGCAGGAACGAGUAAAAAGAACAAAGUAAAAGAACACGAAAGGCUCCGGCUCCUUGGUGAUUAUCACCACAAUUGCAAUGUCCUGAGCUUAGGCGAAGGACAACUGAUUGUGGUAUGCCUACCUCCCUUGUAAGUCGUGCCUUGGGUUUCACAAGGGGGACGACCUUUGGAGGCACAGAAAGAAGUGUGCGUUUAAACAGCAUGGGACAGACAAAGAAGUUGGUAUCACCUUUGCCACAGACCAAAUGCAAGUGGGCUUUUUUGUGGGUACCAGGGGGUGAAGCUUGCGAGGCACAUCAAAAGGCAACAUUCCAAGGAAUCUGAAGUGGCCUGCCAGCUUGCAGGAACGAG
Long non-coding RNA from Nematostella vectensis (starlet sea anemone), 1279 nucleotides. RefSeq lists it as uncharacterized. The transcript is spliced from 3 exons. The record is from RefSeq and is a predicted model, not a curated record. Lineage: Eukaryota; Metazoa; Cnidaria; Anthozoa; Actiniaria; Edwardsiidae.